RNAcentral lists this ribosomal RNA (240 nucleotides) under uncultured bacterium. Its description in RNAcentral is "partial 16S ribosomal RNA". It matches the Rfam family "Bacterial small subunit ribosomal RNA", at positions 15 to 244 of the family's 1533-position model. The record is from RNAcentral.
GAUCAUGGCUCAGGAUGAACGCUAGCGACAGGCCUAACACAUGCAAGUCGAGGGGCAGCGGAGAGGUAGCAAUACCUUUGCCGGCGACCGGCGCACGGGUGAGUAACACGUAUGCAAUCCACCUGUAACAGGGGGAUAACCCGGAGAAAUCCGGACUAAUACUCCAUAAUAUGGGCUCUCCGCAUGGAGAGCCCAUUAAAGAGGGCAAUUUUGGUUACAGACGAGCAUGCGCCCCAUUAG